RNAcentral lists this transfer RNA (72 nucleotides) under Gloeobacter morelensis MG652769. RNAcentral's name for it is "tRNA-Arg". It matches the Rfam family "tRNA". From Rfam's summary of the family: Transfer RNA (tRNA) molecules are approximately 80 nucleotides in length. Their secondary structure includes four short double-helical elements and three loops (D, anti-codon, and T loops). Lineage: Bacteria; Bacillati; Cyanobacteriota; Cyanophyceae; Gloeobacterales; Gloeobacteraceae. The record is from RNAcentral.
GCCCCCGUAGCUCAGGGGAUAGAGUCCCGGUUUCCUAAACUGGUUGCGAUGGUUCGAGUCCAUCCGGGGGCA